GAACGCUAGCUACAGGCUUAACACAUGCAAGUCGAGGGGCAGCAUCAUCAAAGCUUGCUUUGAUGGAUGGCGACCGGCGCACGGGUGAGUAACACGUAUCCAACCUGCCGACAACACUGGGAUAGCCUUUCGAAAGAAAGAUUAAUACCGGAUGGUAUAGUUUUCCCGCAUGGGAUAAUUAUUAAAGAAUUUCGGUUGUCGAUGGGGAUGCGUUCCAUUAGGCAGUUGGCGGGGUAACGGCCCACCAAACCUACGAUGGAUAGGGGUUCUGAGAGGAAGGUCCCCCACAUUGGAACUGAGACACGGUCCAAACUCCUACGGGAGGCAGCAGUGAGGAAUAUUGGUCAAUGGACGAGAGUCUGAACCAGCCAAGUAGCGUGAAGGAUGACUGCCCUAUGAGUUGUAAACUUCUUUUAUACGGGAAUAAAGUUAGCCACGUGUGGUUUUUUUGUAUGUACCGUAUGAAUAAGGAUCGGCUAACUCCGUGCCAGCAGCCGCGGUAAUACGGAGGAUCCGAGCGUUAUCCGGAUUUAUUGGGUUUAAAGGGAGCGUAGGCGGGUUGUUAAGUCAGUUGUGAAAGUUUGCGGCUCAACCGUAAAAUUGCAGUUGAUACUGGCGACCUUGAGUGCAACAGAGGUAGGCGGAAUUCGUGGUGUAGCGGUGAAAUGCUUAGAUAUCACGAAGAACUCCGAUUGCGAAGGCAGCUUACUGGAUUGUAACUGACGCUGAUGCUCGAAAGUGUGGGUAUCAAACAGGAUUAGAUACCCUGGUAGUCCACACAGUAAACGAUGAAUACUCGCUGUUGGCGAUAUACAGUCAGCGGCCAAGCGAAAGCAUUAAGUAUUCCACCUGGGGAGUACGCCGGCAACGGUGAAACUCAAAGGAAUUGACGGGGGCCCGCACAAGCGGAGGAACAUGUGGUUUAAUUCGAUGAUACGCGAGGAACCUUACCCGGGCUUAAAUUGCAACUGACGGAACCGGAAACGGUUCUUUCUUCGGACAGUUGUGAAGGUGCUGCAUGGUUGUCGUCAGCUCGUGCCGUGAGGUGUCGGCUUAAGUGCCAUAACGAGCGCAACCCUUACGGGUAGUUACCAUCAGGUUAUGCUGGGGACUCUACCCGGACUGCCGUCGUAAGAUGUGAGGAAGGUGGGGAUGACGUCAAAUCAGCACGGCCCUUACGUCCGGGGCUACACACGUGUUACAAUGGGGGGUACAGAAGGCAGCUACACGGCGACGUGGUGCUAAUCCCAAAAGCCUCUCUCAGUUCGGAUUGGAGUCUGCAACCCGACUCCAUGAAGCUGGAUUCGCUAGUAAUCGCGCAUCAGCCACGGCGCGGUGAAUACGUUCCCGGGCCUUGUACACACCGCCCGUCAAGCCAUGAAAGCCGGGGGUACCUGAAGUACGUAACCGCGAGGAGCGUCCUAGGGUAAAACUGGUGAUUGGG
RNAcentral lists this ribosomal RNA (1444 nucleotides) under uncultured organism. RNAcentral describes it as "SSU rRNA". It matches the Rfam family "Bacterial small subunit ribosomal RNA". The record is from RNAcentral.